This 864-nucleotide ribosomal RNA is filed under the name uncultured bacterium. RNAcentral's name for it is "bacterial SSU rRNA". It matches the Rfam family "Bacterial small subunit ribosomal RNA", at positions 21 to 890 of the family's 1533-position model. The record is from RNAcentral.
GGCUCAGAACGAACGCUGGCGGCGUGGAUAAGACAUGCAAGUCGAACGGGACCAGGUUUGUAGCAAUACAAGCUUGGUUCAGUGGCGCACGGGUGCGUAACACGUGAGCAAUCUGCCGGGAAGUGGGGGAUAGCUCGCCGAAAGGCGAAUUAAUACCGCAUGUGGCCAUUCUUCGAGUGGAGGAAAAGCCAAAGCAGCAAUGCGCUUCCUGAUGAGCUCGCGGCCUAUCAGCUAGAUGGCGGGGUAAUGGCCCACCAUGGCUUUGACGGGUAGCUGGUCUGAGAGGACGACCAGCCACACUGGAACUGAGAUACGGUCCAGACACCUACGGGUGGCAGCAGUCGAGAAUUUUUCACAAUGGGGGCAACCCUGAUGGAGCGACGCCGCGUGGAGGAUGAAGGCCUUCGGGUUGUAAACUCCUGUCAUGCGGGAACAAGCAAGUGAUAGUACCGCAAGAGGAAGAGACGGCUAACUCUGUGCCAGCAGCCGCGGUAAUACAGAGGUCUCAAGCGUUGUUCGGAUUCAUUGGGCGUAAAGGGUGCGUAGGUGGUGACGCAAGUCUGGUGUGAAAUCUCGGAGCUCAACUCCGAAAUUGCACCGGAUACUGCGUGACUCGAGGACUGUAGAGGAGAUCGGAAUUCACGGUGUAGCAGUGAAAUGCGUAGAUAUCGUGAGGAAGAUCAGUUGCGAAGGCGGAUCUCUGGGCAGUUCCUGACACUGAGGCACGAAGGCCAGGGGAGCAAACGGGAUUAGAUACCCCGGUAGUCCUGGCAGUAAACGGUGCACGUUUGGUGUGGGCGGGUUCAGACCCCGUCCGUGCCGGAGCUAACGCGUUAAACGUGCCGCCUGGGAAGUACGGUCGCA